This 460-nucleotide ribosomal RNA is filed under the name uncultured bacterium. RNAcentral's name for it is "partial 16S ribosomal RNA". It matches the Rfam family "Bacterial small subunit ribosomal RNA", at positions 338 to 795 of the family's 1533-position model. The record is from RNAcentral.
CCUACGGGAGGCUGCAGUGAGGAAUAUUGGUCAAUGGACGAGAGUCUGAACCAGCCAAGUAGCGUGAAGGAUGACUGCCCUAUGGGUUGUAAACUUCUUUUAUAUGGGAAUAAAAUGUUCCACGUGUGGGAUUUUGUAUGUACCAUAUGAAUAAGGAUCGGCUAACUCCGUGCCAGCAGCCGCGGUAAUACGGAGGAUCCGAGCGUUAUCCGGAUUUAUUGGGUUUAAAGGGAGCGUAGGUGGAUUGUUAAGUCAGUUGUGAAAGUUUGGGGCUCAACCGUAAGAUUGCAGUUGACACUGGCAGUCUUGAGUACGGUAGAGGUGGGCGGAAUUCGUGGUGUAGCGGUGAAAUGCUUAGAUAUCACGAAGAACUCCGAUUGCGAAGGCAGUUCACUGGACUGCAACUGACACUGAGGCACGAAAGUGUGGGUAUCAAACAGGAUUAGAUACCCCUGUAGUC